Long non-coding RNA from Pan troglodytes (chimpanzee), 474 nucleotides. RefSeq lists it as uncharacterized. NCBI's taxonomy places the organism in Eukaryota, Metazoa, Chordata, Mammalia, Primates, Hominidae. The record is from RefSeq and is a predicted model, not a curated record. The transcript has 3 exons.
GGGUGACUCAGGUGCACAUUAAGUUUUGAUUAACACUCGCUUAGACCAUCUGUAUAAACUUUAGUUUAUACAAGCAAAAGACAGGGAACUCUGUGAUGAAGAAAUCUCUAAGGACUCUGAGAAGAAUGGUCCUGUACUCAAGUUUGAGUUUUAAACUAGGAAAAUGACUAAUAAUUGAAAAUAAUGGGAACUCUGUGGAAUUUUCUUGGCAAUAAGACAGCUGUGUAUCAUCUAUGACUGCUGUGAGCAUGGGGAGUGUUCCAGGCUAAGUGGGCCUUGGAAGGAGCUGAGAGCAUUGCUCUACUGGGACUUCAAUUCUGAACCUGAGGGAGUCAUGAUGACCUCCCCAGAGUUUUUUCUGCUUUGCUAGGUUUGCCCAUUUCCCAAAUUUCUAGAUUGCUAUCCCUAUACUAAAAGAUUACAUUGUCAGAGUUGAGACCAUGUUGAGCUUUUCUUUGCAUGCUCCACCACACC